AGCGAACGCUGGCGGCAGGCUUAACACAUGCAAGUCGAACGGGCUUCUUCGGAAGUCAGUGGCAGACGGGUGAGUAACACGUGGGAACGUGCCCUUCGGUUCGGAAUAACUCAGGGAAACUUGAGCUAAUACCGGAUACGCCCUUUUGGGGAAAGGUUUACUGCCGAAGGAUCGGCCCGCGUCUGAUUAGCUUGUUGGUGGGGUAACGGCCUACCAAGGCGACGAUCAGUAGCUGGUCUGAGAGGAUGAUCAGCCACACUGGGACUGAGACACGGCCCAGACUCCUACGGGAGGCAGCAGUGGGGAAUAUUGGACAAUGGGCGCAAGCCUGAUCCAGCCAUGCCGCGUGAGUGAUGAAGGCCUUAGGGUUGUAAAGCUCUUUUGCCCGGGACGAUAAUGACGGUACCGGAAGAAUAAGCCCCGGCUAACUUCGUG
Molecule: ribosomal RNA, 435 nt
Filed under: uncultured bacterium
Lineage: Bacteria
Description: partial 16S ribosomal RNA
Rfam family: Bacterial small subunit ribosomal RNA
Source: RNAcentral